Molecule: ribosomal RNA, 590 nt
Filed under: uncultured Malassezia
Lineage: Eukaryota; Fungi; Basidiomycota; Malasseziomycetes; Malasseziales; Malasseziaceae
Description: eukaryotic LSU rRNA
Rfam family: Eukaryotic large subunit ribosomal RNA
Source: RNAcentral
UCGUGUUAACAAGGAUUCCCCUAGUAACGGCGAGCGAAGCGGGAAGAGCUCAAAUUUGAAAGCUGGCACCUCCGGUGUCCGCGUUGUAAUCUCGAGACGUGUUUUCCGUGCGGCUCUAUGGACAAGUCCCUUGGAAUAGGGCAUCGUAGAGGGUGAGAAUCCCGUACUUGCCAUGGAAGAACCGUGCUUUGCGAUACACGCUCUAAGAGUCGAGUUGUUUGGGAUUGCAGCUCAAAAUGGGUGGUAGACUCCAUCUAAAGCUAAAUAUCGGGGAGAGACCGAUAGCGAACAAGUACCGUGAGGGAAAGAUGAAAAGCACUUUGGAAAGAGAGUUAAAAGUACGUGAAAUUGUCGAAAGGGAAGCACUUGAAGUCAGCCAUGCUGCUUGAGACUCAGCCUGGCCUUUGGGCUUGGUGUAUUUCUCGGUGGCAAGCCAGCAUUGGUUUGGGUCGUCGGAGAAGCGCAUAGGGAAUGUAGCGUCUCCGGACGUGUUAUAGCCUUAUGCAGGAUACGACGACCUGGAUCAAGGAACGCAGUGUGCCCUCUGGGCGGGUCUUCGGACACCUUCACACUUAGGAUGCUGGCGUAAU